This 550-nucleotide ribosomal RNA is filed under the name uncultured bacterium. RNAcentral describes it as "partial 16S ribosomal RNA". The record is from RNAcentral.
GGAGUUAGCCGGUGCUUCUUCUGUGAGUGAUGUCCUUCCUGCCGGCUAUUAACCCGCAGGCCUUCUUCCUCACUGAAAGUGCUUUACAACCCGAAGGCCUUCUUCACACACGCGGCAUGGCUGGAUCAGGGUUGCCCCCAUUGUCCAAUAUUCCCCACUGCUGCCUCCCGUAGGAGUCUGGGCCGUGUCUCAGUCCCAGUGUGGCUGAUCAUCCUCUCAGACCAGCUACGGAUCGUCGCCUUGGUGAGCCGUUACCUCACCAACCAGCUAAUCCGACAUAGGCUCAUCCGAUAGCGCGAGGCCCGAAGGUCCCCCGCUUUCCCCCGUAGGGCGUAUGCGGUAUUAGCCUGGGUUUCCCCAGGUUAUCCCCCACUACCGGGCAGAUUCCUAUGCAUUACUCACCCGUCCGCCGCUCGCCACCAGGGAGCAAGAUCCCCGUGCUGCCGCUCGACUUGCAUGUGUUAGGCCUGCCGCCAGCGUUCAAUCUGAGCCAGAAUCGAAACCUCGACGACGUAGACGGGCGGUCGGUCGGACGGACGGCCGACUAAGU